Molecule: unclassified non-coding RNA, 1770 nt
Filed under: Hevea brasiliensis (rubber tree)
Lineage: Eukaryota; Viridiplantae; Streptophyta; Magnoliopsida; Malpighiales; Euphorbiaceae
Source: RNAcentral
CUAAGCAUGCCCAAGGACAACCAAUUGCUAAAAGGGUAAGAAUUAGCUCAAGGAUGGUUCCAAAGGAAGGCAAAUUGAAAGUGGAAGAGAACUUCUCCUCUAAGGCUUGCCAUUCUACUGCUUCUGAUGAUUCUACAAGGAAUAAAUCUAGCUCAGAGUUUGCAAUAUCACGUUCAUGUCCCCAGAGCUGCUGCAAGAUAAAAGAAGGGCUUGGAGGUGAAAUUCCAGGGGAAAUCCAGGGAAGCUUUUGGAAGUCCUGUAUAGCUUCGAGAAAGAGGUCUUUAAUGUUUCAACAGAGCAGUACAGCCAUUGAAAGACUCCAAAGGGAUCUUCGAAAUAUUUUGAAGCAGGAUCCUUUCAUCUUGACUGAAAAUGAAGAGGAUCUGCUUAUCUAUAAUGCAAACAGCCUGCAAAUAUCCUACAAUGAAAUUGGUCUUGGAGGCUUUCUUCUCAAAACCAACUCUACUACUGCUACUACUUUUCCUAGAGAACCUGCACCACCUGUUGAGACGCAAUCUUCUCUAGUGGAUGAUGUCAAACCGUCUUCAGUAGAUGUCAUGGAUUCUGGCUUCAAUGAGUCUCAAAAUAGAUCCUCAUCAAAGUAGCAAGAAUGAUGUGUGUUUAAGGAGGUGCCAAAGUGAGUGACUUAGGCUAUCUAAUUCCUCUACUUACUGAGAAUUUCAAGUACUUGUCUUGGAUUUACAAGAAGUUUAUGUUUUUCUCUUUGGAAAAUUGAUGAUCAAUACUAUCUAUGUUAAUCAAUCAUUGAUUCCAAGUGUUUAUGUUAUACGAUUUUCUGCUUGAGGUAGAUAGCAAUUUGAUUCUACAGUUCAUAUUCAUUUGGUGGAUUAGGUCAGGGUUUCUUGCAUUUCUUUUGGUUUUCAAUGAAUCAAUAUGAUUUGUUUUAAUAUCGUUCUCUUAGCACUUUAGAUGUCUAGAUGAACUUGUAUCAUUUGCAAAAUGUUUAUUUAAUGCUCCUGCUUCCAAAUUUUGAAUAUUUUUUAGUCUAUAUUACUAACCAGGUUGAAAUUUUUUCCAGGAAAGUAUCUCUUUUCUGAUGUUUCUGCAAUGCUUCUACACCUAUUAUCAUGCUAAACCUCUAGGUUCAAAUUGCCUCAGUAAAAACAAUUUUGUCCCAACCUAGUGUGGGUAGAUCUCCCUAUCUGGGUGUGGGAAUAAAUAGGCUUUUGUUGUCUGGUUUCUACAAAUCUGAAGGACUUGGUAAGAGUUUUAUCAAUUUGAUAUGUUUGUGGCUUUGUUCUGUUGGAAUGGCACCACUCGUCGUCAGAGGCCAUCGUCAUAUGAAGGGUCUAUUUGCAUGUGUGAAUGUGGGUAUCUUAAGAUCGUUGAGCUUAGCUCUUUUGGUUGCAGACCCCCUUCCCCUUCCCCUUCCUCUAAUAAGCUGUAGAAGAUUGAGAGGCAUGAGCUCUACCCAGUUCCCCCUCUGUUAGUAGCUAUUUGAUGGUGGUGAUUGUUGCUUUUGAGCUCCCGCGACUAGCUGGGUUGAUGUUUAAAGGCAAUGGCUUUUGGUUUGCAGUGUUUUGUUAUGAAAGCUUCCAUCUGUUAGCCUUUUCAGUAAUAAUCAUUAACCUUAAAUUAAAUUACUAGCCCUUCAGGCCUGAACUUCGGAAAAUUAAUACUCCACCAGCUUCACUUUCCAAUCCAUCAAUGAAAGAGGCAAUAAUAACCAUUAACCUAAAUUAUUAGUUGAAUGACAAUUUGCGGCAUUUUAGUAAUUUCUUGAUGGUUGAAAAAUCAUGCAAUUUCAAA